This 497-nucleotide ribosomal RNA is filed under the name uncultured bacterium. Its description in RNAcentral is "partial 16S ribosomal RNA". It matches the Rfam family "Bacterial small subunit ribosomal RNA", at positions 28 to 507 of the family's 1533-position model. The record is from RNAcentral.
GACGAACGCUGGCGGCGUGCCUAAUACAUGCAAGUUGAGCGCUGAAGGUUGGUACUUGUACCAACUGGAUGAGCAGCGAACGGGUGAGUAACGCGUGGGGAAUCUGCCUUUGAGCAGGGGACAACAUUUGGAAACGAAUGCUAAUACCGCAUAAAAACUUUAAACACAAGUUUUAAGUUUGAAAGAUGCAAUUGCAUCACUCAAAGAUGAUCUCGCGUUGUAUUAGCUAGUUGGUGAGGUAAAGGCUCACCAAGGCGAUGAUACAUAGCCGACCUGAGAGGAUGAGCGGCCACAUUGGGACUGAGACACGGCCCAAACUCCUACGGGAGGCAGCAGUAGGGAAUCUUCGGCAAUGGACGAAAGUCUGACCGAGCAACGCCGCGGGAGUGAAGAAGGUUUUCGGAUCGUAAAACUCUGUUGGUAGAGAAGAACGUUGGUGAGAGUGGAAAGCUCACCAAGUGACGGUAACUACCCAGAAAGGGACGGCUAACUACGUG